RNAcentral lists this ribosomal RNA (800 nucleotides) under uncultured organism. RNAcentral's name for it is "bacterial SSU rRNA". It matches the Rfam family "Bacterial small subunit ribosomal RNA", at positions 13 to 807 of the family's 1533-position model. The record is from RNAcentral.
UUGAUCCUGGNCUCAGGAUGAACGCUAGCGGGAGGCUUACACAUGCAAGUCGAGGGGUAACGAUGUAGCUUGCUACAGGCGACGACCGGCGCACGGGUGCGUAACGCGUAUGCAACUUUCCUUAUACAGGAGGAUAGCCCAGGGAAACUUGGAUUAAUACUCCAUAAUGUCACCAGGUCGCAUGGCCAGGUGAUUAAAACUCCGGUGGUAUAAGAUGGGCAUGCGUAGGAUUAGCUAGUAGGUAGUGUAACGGACUACCCAGGCAACGAUCCUUAGGGGUUCUGAGAGGAUUAUCCCCCACACUGGUACUGAGACACGGACCAGACUCCUACGGGAGGCAGCAGUGAGGAAUAUUGGUCAAUGGGCGCGAGCCUGAACCAGCCAUCCCGCGUGCAGGAUGACGGCCCUAUGGGUUGUAAACUGCUUUUCUACGCCAAGAAAGGCCCGUACGCGUACGGGAUUGACGGUAGCGUAGGAAUAAGCAUCGGCUAACUCCGUGCCAGCAGCCGCGGUAAUACGGAGGAUGCAAGCGUUAUCCGGAUUCAUUGGGUUUAAAGGGUGCGCAGGCGGGCUUGUAAGUCAGUGGUGAAAUACUGCCGCUUAACGGUAGAAUUGCCAUUGAUACUGCGAGUCUUGAGUAUGGUCGAGGUAGGCGGAAUGUGCAGUGUAGCGGUGAAAUGCAUAGAGAUUGCACAGAACGCCGAUUGCGGAGGCCAGCUUACUAAGCCAUAACUGACGCUGAGGCACGAAAGCGUGGGGAGCGAACAGGAUUAGAUACCCUGGUAGUCCACGCUGUACAC